AAACAUUGUAAAAACAUUGCUGGUUAAUGCAGGUUAUUUUGUAUGGUUACUUUUUGUAAUGUAAAAUUGUUGGUUUUGGUGUAUGAGCGAUGAUGGUGUUUGAUAUCAUAUAUUAAAACACUUUCAGAUUCAUAAAUGGAAUAGAAAUGGAAUGAUUCAUUAUCUGGGUAUUUUAUCAUUUUUCAAUUAUCUCAAUUUUGAUUGAUACCAAUGCAUAGCUCAAGAAUAACAUUCUUAGUGCAGGUCAAUAACCAAUUUGACAAGAGUUUUGGAAGUAACUUUCCUGGAACUUAACAUCCUUGAACUUGAGCUAUACACCAACAUUAAGGAUGUUAAUUUGACAAGAGUUUUGACACGCGUCACGUGUUUGACAAAAUGUUUCAACUGGUUUCUUUUCUCUUUUCGCUUAUGUUGUGGUGAUUAUUGUUGUAUCACUAAAGGAAGGCAUGUUUAAUAAUGCAAAUGUUCUUUUUCGGACAAAAUUUGUAGACGGUGUUUCAACGGUUCAACGAACUCUUGAAAAGCAAAACAAGUGAUUUAAACAUGUUAUAUGUCCUUAUAAACAUGUUCAUCUUCUGGUAAUGUAAGGAUAUAUAAACAGUGUCUGCAACUGAAUUCAUAUCUAUUUUGAACUUCUCUUUGGGACUGAUAUGUCAUGGUAGUAUGAACAUUGUCAUUUCCCCUAAUGUAAUAACUAUGAUAAAAUCUGCACGUAAUGGAAUUUUGGUAUCAUACUCAA
This is a long non-coding RNA of Vicia villosa (hairy vetch), 739 nucleotides long. RefSeq lists it as uncharacterized. NCBI's taxonomy places the organism in Eukaryota, Viridiplantae, Streptophyta, Magnoliopsida, Fabales, Fabaceae. The record is from RefSeq and is a predicted model, not a curated record. The transcript is spliced from 2 exons.